GAUGAACGCUGGCGGCGUGCUUAACACAUGCAAGUCGAACGAUGAAGCCCAGCUUGCUGGGUGGAUUAGUGGCGAACGGGUGAGUAACACGUGAGUAACCUGCCCUUGACUCUGGGAUAAGCCUGGGAAACUGGGUCUAAUACUGGAUAUGACUUCUCAUCGCAUGGUGGGGGGUGGAAAGAUUUAUUGGUCUUGGAUGGACUCGCGGCCUAUCAGCUUGUUGGUGAGGUAAUGGCUCACCAAGGCGACGACGGGUAGCCGGCCUGAGAGGGCGACCGGCCACACUGGGACUGAGACACGGCCCAGACUCCUACGGGAGGCAGCAGUGGGGAAUAUUGCACAAUGGGCGCAAGCCUGAUGCAGCGACGCCGCGUGAGGGAUGACGGCCUUCGGGUUGUAAACCUCUUUCAGUAGGGAAGAAGCGAGAGUGACGGUACCUGCAGAAGAAGCGCCGGCUAACUACGUG
This 466-nucleotide ribosomal RNA is filed under the name uncultured bacterium. RNAcentral describes it as "partial 16S ribosomal RNA". It matches the Rfam family "Bacterial small subunit ribosomal RNA", at positions 28 to 507 of the family's 1533-position model. The record is from RNAcentral.